RNAcentral lists this ribosomal RNA (450 nucleotides) under uncultured bacterium. RNAcentral describes it as "partial 16S ribosomal RNA". It matches the Rfam family "Bacterial small subunit ribosomal RNA", at positions 354 to 796 of the family's 1533-position model. The record is from RNAcentral.
GUGGGGAAUCUUCCGCAAUGGACGAAAGUCUGACGGAGCAACGCCGCGUGAGUGAUGAAGGUCUUCGGAUUGUAAAGCUCUGUUAAUCGGGACGAAAGAGCCUAGUGUGAAUAAUGCUAGGAAGUGACGGUACCGGAAUAGAAAGCCACGGCUAACUACGUGCCAGCAGCCGCGGUAAUACGUAGGUGGCAAGCGUUGUCCGGAAUUAUUGGGCGUAAAGCGCGCGCAGGCGGAUCUGCCAGUCUGUCUUAAAAGUUCGGGGCUUAACCCCGUGAUGGGAUGGAAACUACAGAUCUAGAGUAUCGGAGAGGAAAGUGGAAUUCCUAGUGUAGCGGUGAAAUGCGUAGAUAUUAGGAAGAACACCAGUGGCGAAGGCGACUUUCUGGACUGUAACUGACGCUGAGGCUCGAAAGCCAGGGGAGCGAACGGGAUUAGAAACCCCUGUAGUCC